RNAcentral lists this ribosomal RNA (466 nucleotides) under uncultured bacterium. Its description in RNAcentral is "partial 16S ribosomal RNA". It matches the Rfam family "Bacterial small subunit ribosomal RNA", at positions 28 to 507 of the family's 1533-position model. The record is from RNAcentral.
GAUGAACGCUGGCGGCGUGCUUAACACAUGCAAGUCGAACGAUGAAGCCCAGCUUGCUGGGUGGAUUAGUGGCGAACGGGUGAGUAACACGUGAGUAACCUGCCCUUGACACUGGGAUAAGCGCUGGAAACGGCGGCUAAUACCGGAUACGAGCUUCCACCGCAUGGUGAGUUGCUGGAAAGAAUUUCGGUCAAGGAUGGACUCGCGGCCUAUCAGGUAGUUGGUGAGGGAACGGCUCACCAAGCCGACGACGGGUAGCCGGCCUGAGAGGGUGACCGGCCACACUGGGACUGAGACACGGCCCAGACUCCUACGGGAGGCAGCAGUGGGGAAUAUUGCACAAUGGGCGCAAGCCUGAUGCAGCAACGCCGCGUGAGGGACGAAGGCCUUCGGGUCGUAAACCUCUUUUAGCAGGGAAGAAGCGAAAGUGACGGUACCUGCAGAAAAAGCACCGGCUAACUACGUG